Molecule: transfer RNA, 69 nt
Filed under: Richardsonius balteatus (redside shiner)
Lineage: Eukaryota; Metazoa; Chordata; Actinopteri; Cypriniformes; Leuciscidae
Description: tRNA-Arg
Rfam family: tRNA
About the family: Transfer RNA (tRNA) molecules are approximately 80 nucleotides in length.
Source: RNAcentral
AGAGGGCUAGUCCAAAAAAGACCUCUGAUUUCGGCUCAGAAAAUUGUGGUUAAAGUCCAUGGCCCCCUU